RNAcentral lists this ribosomal RNA (433 nucleotides) under uncultured bacterium. Its description in RNAcentral is "partial 16S ribosomal RNA". It matches the Rfam family "Bacterial small subunit ribosomal RNA", at positions 29 to 507 of the family's 1533-position model. The record is from RNAcentral.
AACGAACGCUGGCGGCAUGCCAAACACAUGCAAGUCGAACGAGACCUUCGGGUCUGGUGGCGCACGGGUGCGUAACGCGUGGGAACCUGCCCUUAGGUUCGGAAUAACUCCCCGAAAGGGGUGCUAAUACCGGAUAAUGUCUUCGGACCAAAGAUUUAUCGCCUUUGGAUGGGCCCGCGUUGGAUUAGCUAGUUGGUAGGGUAAAAGCCUACCAAGGCGACGAUCCAUAGCUGGUCUGAGAGGAUGAUCAGCCACACUGGGACUGAGACACGGCCCAGACUCCUACGGGAGGCAGGAGUGGGGAAUAUUGGACAAUGGGCGAAAGGCUGAUCCAGCAAUGCCGCGUGAGUGAUGAAGGCCUUAGGGUUGUAAAGCUCUUUUACCCGGGAUGAUAAUGACGGUACCGGGAGAAUAAGCUCCGGCUAACUCCGUG